This 209-nucleotide long non-coding RNA is filed under the name Pan troglodytes (chimpanzee). Its description in RNAcentral is "long non-coding RNA NONPTRT000976". Lineage: Eukaryota; Metazoa; Chordata; Mammalia; Primates; Hominidae. The record is from RNAcentral.
CUGAGCUAGGUGCAAGUUAAGUGUGGCAGGAAGGUAACCAGUGGUAAUCAAAGGGCCAGUGAGGCUGCAGCCUGGAAAACAUGGAGCGUUGUACCAAAGGAUGAGGUUGUGAAGGGCAUUGGAAUAGACAAACUUCCUCAUUGUAGAUCCAAGAGGAGUGGGAAAGAAAAAAAAUAUCAGGUAAAAAAGUCAAAAUACUGUCAUAUACC